UGUCAAACUCGUGAGUUGACUUGUAAAAUCGUGCGAUUUUACAAGUGAACACAGAUAUAAUGCGAUUUUACAAGUUAACACAGAUAUAAUGUGCGAAAUCGGGUAAAAAACUCGAAAAUCGGCAAACUUGAUCAAACUCGGUUAAAAUCAAUCAAAUUUAGUAAACUCAAACUGAGUUUACCAAGUUUGACAAAAUUUACCGCAUCUUCUCAAUCCUCUCCAUCCCAUUUGUCUCAUGGUCUCUAGUCUCCUCUCCUCUCCUCUUCAUCUUUGAUUCAUCAUCCCAUUUAUCUCAUGGGCUCCAGUCUCCAGUCUCCUCUCCAUCUUUGAUUUGAUUGUCUUCGCCUCUUCAAUCUCCAGUCUCCAAUAUACAAAACACCCAUGUUCAUGGAGACCCACGCAACACCAGUGAAGUGCAACAAUCACCAGAGAAGAAUAGAUUUGAGAUGGGCUAGGGGGUUGGGUUGCUAGGAGGAGCUUUGAUUUUUAAGGGUUUUCUUUUUUCCUCCGUAAUAACUGAGAUUGUCGGAAAAAAACUUGAACUAGAAGUAGAAUAGGAAUACAUAUUUCUCGAAGAAGGACGCUAAAGAAAUGCUUAUCUCAAGGCUAACA
Long non-coding RNA from Populus euphratica (Euphrates poplar), 612 nucleotides. RefSeq lists it as uncharacterized. Lineage: Eukaryota; Viridiplantae; Streptophyta; Magnoliopsida; Malpighiales; Salicaceae. The transcript is spliced from 2 exons. The record is from RefSeq and is a predicted model, not a curated record.